UCUUCCCAAGCCUUUUUGGAGGUACCCCAUGUACUACAUUGCAUUCCACAAGUAUGCAAAUCAAGGAUUCUACAAGAAUGAGUUUGAAGGAUUGACGUUUCCUAAUAAUCAAGCUGGAGGGUCGCCUACCAUUACUGGCGAAGAAAUCUUGCGAAACAUUUGGCAAGUGGAGAUGGGCUACUCGAAAUGGGUUGAUAUUGGUAUCUUGUUUGGGAUGGUGGUUGUUUAUCGGCUUAUGUUCUUGGGAAUCAUAAAAAUUGUUGAAAAAGUUAAGCCAAUCAUCAAAGCUGUUAUGUCUGUUCCUCCAGCACAAGUCAGCUCAGAUACUUGAGAAUUGAGAAUCCCUCUCCAUCACUUGAAGUUACGAAGAAUAUUUGAAAAUAACUCCAGAGAUCUAUAGGGUUGGUAAUUUAGGUUAGAGAAAUUCCCCAAGGUUGAUAAUUUUAUAAGGUUAAUUUUAUGUAUCGAUGUUGAAAUUAGCAGAUACUGAUAGCUAAUUGCCACAUCAAAUUUCAUAUGAUAGAGUAAAAACAUGAAAAAUUGUAGAGAUUCUAUGAUUUCAUGGAAUUAUGUUACUUUAAAUUGUAAACAUCCGAUGAUAAUUAAAUUAAUAUAUACUUAUGAAUAUAAUUAUUAAAAAAGAUUGCUUGAUAUAUAUUUAUAUUUUUUGAAAUGAUAAUUAAAGAUCCGAAAUAUAGAACCUGAAAACUUUUUAGAUUUAUUCAAAUACACUUACCACCAUAUUAAGUUUCUGAAUAAUUGAUAUUUAUAAUUGCUUGAUAUUUAUGAUAGCUUUUUUUUUAAAUUGACUUUUAAUUUGUAUGGUAUGCUUUUAUAUAAAAUUAUUUAUACGAAAUCAUAAUGUAAACUUUAUCGAUUACGGAUUGAUUUAUUUUUUAUUUUUUUAUAUUAUUUAAUAUUUAAAAUUUAUGAAUUUAAUUAAAAAUAAAAAAUAUUAAAAUAUUUUACAUUAAAAAAUAGACUAGAAAUCUCUUAUUAAAAAAAUAUGGACUUAUAUCAAUCUCUUGGUUGUCUCUUAUGAAUAAUGUGAAAUUUUGAGAAAUUUUAAGAAAUUUUUAGCUUUUAUGGUAAAAUUAAAUGAUAAAAUGAUCGAGUAAAAAAAAUUAGAAGGGUAAUAAUAUUAAUUACAAAAAUAUAGACUCAAUUAGUAAAUAUGGUAAAAAAUUAGGGAUCUUAUUGUAAUUCGCCAUUUAUUUUAAAAGCAGCAUCCCACACUCCUUUCUUCUUCUAGAAACAACAAACGGGAACCAGUUACCAGAGAUAUGGAGGAAGAAGAGCAUGAGGUGUACGGAGGAGAGAUUCCGGACAUGGAAGGUGAUAUGGACCCUCACAACGCCGACGUCGACAUGUCUGCCGCCGAUGAAGACGCCGUCAAGGUCCUAAUUUUUUCUGUUUUGGUUUCAAUUGUUUAUAGAGAGAAUAAAACCCUAGUGAUUUAUCGAUCUUCGAGGUUUCUACACGAAGAGCUAUUUACUUAGCUUUCUUGCAUAAUAUUACAAUUAAUACCAUUUGUUUACGGGGGCAAUGGUGCAGGAGCUGGAUGAGAUGAAGAAGAGGUUGAAGGAGAUGGAAGAGGAAGCGGCGGCUCUCCGUGAGAUGCAAGCUAAGGUUGAGAAAGAGAUGGGCGCUGUUCAAGGUUUUGACUCUUUUUCUUAUAUCUUCUACUAGGAGUUUUGUCUUUCCGGAGGAAUUUGAUCUAUGUUACAUAUCUUUUCUUUGUUUGUUUUCCGAGAAAUUUUGAUGGUCAAAAGGAGUCUUAUGGGUUGGCUAUUUUUAUUUGCUUCUGCUACUUGUGGUGGUUUAGAAAUCGACACAUCUGGAUUAUUAAUCUUGUUUCCCUGUAAUUUACUUAGAAAACGAUGUUUAGCCCUACGGUCAAGAAUGAUAUGCAUUUAUCUUGGUGCUUAAGAAAGUGAUGAAUAGCAUCAAGAAGAGACACUACACAAAUGCUAUAAGAGGGAUUGCAUUAGAAGUUUCAUUAUCUGGUCUUCCCCCCCGCCCCCUUCUUAAACAAGCUUGGUAGUUUUUGGUGAUAAUACACUUCCUUCAUAUUCUGAAAAUGAGUGUUUUGAGAAUUUCAGCAAACAUCACUUUGGAGCUCUCAGAAAGUCAGACUACUUGUUAAAAAUGUUUUCUUCUAAAUGUUCCAAAAAAUGUACUUCUAAACGUGCUUUUGGUAUAGAGAGAAUAUUUCCUUUGUUCUUGGUAAGAAAAUAUUUCCUUUUAAAUGUGCUUUUGGCAUGCAUUUCCUUAUUAACCAUAGGUGUCUCAGAAAAAUACCUACCUCUUUUUAUGGUAUACUGUGUGAUUUUUCACUGUUUUGAGGAAUUUAACCAGAUCGGUUUUUUAUGUCUUGCUUAUUUCAGUGAAUGACAAUUUUUUGAAGCAACUUUUUACUUAAUUUUCUUUCAUGCCUUGGUCUUCACAUUUAUGAUUUAGACAAGCUGUUAUGGUGGAUUAUCAUUUGAUUUGUGCUUGUAACCUUGUACUGUAUCUUUCUUCUUACUUAGAAUAAGAUGCUUGAAUUUUUGUUACAAUCAAACGUCUUAUUCUUAUUUGACUUCUCUUCUAGUUUUAUAUUCAAGUCACACUCAUAAUUUAACCUUUUUCCCUGUUCGGAAGUUUAAAUUCACAUUACUGUUGUAAUUUGCACGCUGUCAUUUCAUUCACAGAUCCAGCUAGUGCAGCUGCUAACCAAGCAAAUAGGGAGGAAGUGGAUUCUCGUUCUGUAUUUGUGGGCAAUGUGAGAAAAUGGAAAACCUCUUCUCCUUUUUUCUGCCACCUGUUAACUACCUACUGUGUCUAUAAAUGCUAGUUUCCUGUAAGCUUGUUUUUAUUCCUAGCUGUGCUCUUAGAGUUGCAUAAUAUUGUGUAUUAACCAAAAUUUCUUUUCUACAUAUCUGAGACUGAGUUCUUGUUUUAACCUGGUCAGUUAAGGAAAGUAGUAGGCCUGUUUUUCCAUUGGUCUUGCUAAAUUUCUUUUGAAGUACCAUGCAUGCCAUUCACUAUUUUGCAUUUCUUUAUGUAGCUACUUCAUAAAUUUAUGUAUUUCAAAUUUGCUUCCUAUUUCCCACCCUUUUCUUUACAUAACCUUAGAAGUUAAUACAUUGUGCAUGAUUUCAUAUUUAAUAUCCUUCUUUCAUUCUGUAAAUUAAGCUUCAUUAUUCGAAUGUGCAUUGUAUAUUGGAUAUGCAUGCUUAUGGAACUACAGGUUUCUGGUUGUAAAAUACAGUUUUCGUCCUGGCUAGAAAAUAGUGAUCACCUUUGGGAAUAUUUCUUCAUCUGGGUUAUUGUAAUAGACUUGUUGACUAACCCCCAUGCUGAAAAUCAUUUUACAUAAUCUUAAUUGAUAUUCUGUUACCUUUCUCUUGUCCAUUGAGGUAUUUUUAUUAUAUAAAACAUCUCCAGAAAAUGCCCUUUCGUUAAACUAAUCUAUUUGGGAAAGAGUAGACAACUUGUAUAAUUCUUUUAUAGGAAGUGUUCAAACGCCUUAUUUGUUGAAGAACAGGCAUACCUCCUUUCUAUAUUUAUAUUAAUCAGCAGUGGUGGGCAAUCUCAUGGAAACCAGAGAUUGCCAUGGCUCCACUAUGUUUUCAUUGAUUGUUUUAGUGUCUAGUUAUUAAUAAAAUUUUAACAUUUUGUAGUUGACAUUUAAGAUAAUGUUGUCUGGUAAGUUCUUUCUGCCUCUUUUAUGACCACCACACUAAUAUUAUAAAAAAAUUGGCUGGUCUAUCCCUUUCAAGUGUGAAAUUUCUGGACUAUAGAAAUUUUUAUUAUGCUUUGCAUUUCAAAAACCUUGUGAAUGAUAGAAAUGUAAACCAUGAAAGUCAUAAAAAUGUGAAAAACCUAAUUCGAUUUUACUUUGAGGGUCUGAAAUUUAUCUGUUAUAGCAGGUUUUGUUAAUGUUUUCUUUCGUUUCACACGUUUAUCUUUAACUGUUUUAUCUUGUUAUGCAUUGAAAGACAAAGUACAUGCACAUCAAAUGCAGUCUGUAAUUUAGUAGUACAUAAGUAUUCCAAAUCUCAACAGCCCUUUCUAUCCACCCAAAACCUCAGAGAGAAAAAGAAAUAAUAAAAAGAAAGAAAGAAAGAAACUUUCCUCCUGGCAGUGGAUUUGUUUUACUGUUUUGAAUUAUUAUUUACUUUAAUUUGCUUGCUUUUUCUGUUGAUGUGCCUUCUUACCAUUCGAAAUCAUGGUUUGACUUUACGUCUCACUAUGAUCGCAGGAUUCUCCUUAUUCUUCAAGUUCUCUGUUUGUUAGCGCUGGAAUAGUUGUACUGUCUUUUGGGGAUGGGCCAGUGUCAAUUUUGUGUUAAAUAAGCUUGUAUUAUGAGAGAUUAAAAAGUCCUGCAUGUUAAUAGACAAAAGAAAUGAAAACAAAGUUGUUGAAGAAAAUGAGUAGAAGAUAUGAUAAAUGUUGCUUGAAAAAAAAAAAGAGCGGAAAAAGAAAAAGGAAUGCAGAACAUUUGAAAGGGCCAAAAAAAAAAAAAGAAGAAAAGAAAUUCAGAAAAAAUAAUACAAAAGGAAGAUUUUGGAACAGAAAAAAAAGGAAAAAAAAAGAGAUGGAAAGAUGAGAGAGAGAGGAGUCCAACUUGAAGAAUAAUGCAAAUCUAUUCCAAGGGAAAUUGUUUGAAAAAAGCAAGCUAAAUGCCUAUUGGAGUUGCUGAAUUGAUGUAGUUUGUAAUUGAGAUGCUUCAACCAUUAUGUUAUGUGAGAAUGGAAGUCAAUCCGUUUGAAGAGCAGAGGCAAGUCAGAAUAUGCAAUCUAAGUUGCAGACUGCAGAGCCUCGUCACUGCUGUUGGUAGUUGGUGCUUCCGAAAUAUGUGGUCAUUAAGCAGAAGUGGUGAAGGGUGUAAGAUUGUUGCUUCUUUCAGUGUCUUAAUCUCUUGACUUCUAGUUACUUUUAUCCAAAGUGUUGGAACUUGGAAAUGUUUGACAAAUGUGUGUUAUAAUAUUUCUAGUGAACUUACAAGAGUUAUUAAGAUUCUAAAUAGCAUAUUUUGUCUUGGUCAUUUUAUUAUCUACUUUAAACACUUCUUGGACUUGUUAUUUCUCAUCAGUUGUUCCUAAAAGGCUGCUCAAAUCCUUGGGAGUUUGCUAUAUGAAUUAUCGUUUUACUUAAUCUCAAGAAGAAAGCAUUUUAAAGCUUGUAAAUGAUCCAAGCUAGACAAAUUUAGACAUGUGACAUGGCAAUAUAUUAUCUACUUUUCCUUCUUACAUUAACUUUGAGAACCUGCAUUUUUGAAUGGGAUAAUAUGUCUUCCCCCCGCCCCUUUUUAUAGAAAAAGCAUUUUCACUGUAUAAUUUAAUUAGCUUAUUGCUGAAAACACUAUAUGUCCUCUCAUCUUAAUUUUCUGGAAAUGUUUUCCAUGAUAAAAUCCACUUAAAUUGCUGCGGUAUUCAUUUGUCAAAGUACCUUUAGAUGUCUUAGCUUUUCCUCUUUUGAUUUAUAGACGAAAUAUUCUAUACAUAAAAACCUUUAUUACUUCCAUUUAAUUUAGAAUUUCUAAACUUCAUCUGUUGUAGUUUUUCUUAUAUGUGUGUGUGUGUGUGUUUGUGUGUGUGUGUACACACACACACUUCUGUGUUUGCUUCUAUUUGAAUGAUUUAUAUGUAUUUUCAUGAACUAGUGUUCUCAAGUCCUGUGUUGAUGAUCAUUUGAGCGGUGUAGGCUGUAAGCAUUUGGGAACUUUGUUUUACUAGACGAGAGAAUAAUGGGUUCAUGUGAGCCAGUUUUCAGUGCUUGAAGUUGGAGCGGAAAUGGAGGUGAAAAAAGCUACUUGAAAGAAAGGACAUAUCACAUAAGACAAGGCUAAGACAUAUGGACUGUGGCUUACACUGAAUUGUUGAGUAUUAAGGUUUUGUUUGAGUUGAGGAUGUAGUCUUCGCCAUAAACUGCAGAAUGCUCAGUUGCCAGUUCUUUUCCCAUUAUGCAGAUGGAGAUGCACAUCAACCGCCACUUAAAGUGUCUAGUCAGAUGGGAGAAAUGAAAUACUGCAGUGCCUUUUUUUCUUAGAAAGGGUGAAAGAAAAGAGGAGGUAGAGAAGGGUGAACUUUGUUACUGUGGAGAGGAAAAAGCUAAAUUUGAGAUGACCUUGUGGCAAAAUUCUAUUCUAGGUCUAUAUUUGAAAAAGGACUGGCAGUGGGAUAAUUUGGUGGUACACAAGAAUGGUUUUGUGUCUGCUAUUUAGAAAAUGAUAGAUAUGGUUGAAUAAUGAAAGUAUGCCUGUUUUGAUAGAAAAUUUUGGCAGAUUCAUGUCGCUUUUAUGCACCAUUGCUUUUGGUGAUUUGAAAUUGAAUCAGGCCAGCGUGCGUUUCGAAAUUUGAAUUGUGAACUCAAAAACAUCUUGCACAUGAAAAUAAGUGGUGCAAAAAAGAUUAAACAAGCUGGAUUAGAGACUAUACAAUAUCCACAAUUUUUUAGGAGCAGUUGGUGGAAAGAGGAAAAUGUAGAACAUUAUUGCUUGUGUCAAAACUGAACAAUAAAACUAGGAUUUUUUUUUCCCAAUCCAAUGCAGCCAUUUGAUUUCAGCUAAAACAUUAUUCUUUCUUUGAAUAAUGUUUUCCUUUUUGGGUAUAUGAUGUAUUAUGCAUGUGGAUAAGAAACCUUGUCCGAAAAAUUAUAGCAGAAAGAAUCUUGGUAAAACAUAUUUCAAUGAGCUGUUUGCUACCAUAAAUCUGUUUAUCUGAUCUAGAUCUUAUAAAUUUAUCUUUGAUGCCUUGCUGAUUGAAAUUUGGCAUGCAAACAUUAUGAUGAAUUUAUCAUGCAGGUUGAUUAUGCAUGCACACCAGAAGAAGUUCAACAACACUUUCAGUCUUGUGGAACAGUUAACAGGGUUACUAUUUUGACAGACAAGUAUGGCCAGCCAAAGGGUUUUGCUUAUGUGGAAUUCCUUGAAGUAGAAGCUGUACAAGAGGCUUUGGUUCUGAAUGAAUCUGAAUUACAUGGGCGUCAAUUGAAGGCAAGUCUUUCUUUUAUCAGAGAAAAAUUAGCAAGUUUAUGGAUUAUUGUUAUUAGGAAAUUACCACGAGAUCCAUUUUUGCUUUUUGAUUUCAUACGGUGUAUGCCUUUCAGGUUUUGCCCAAAAGGACCAAUGUUCCUGGAAUGAAGCAAUAUCGACCGAGGCGAUUCAAUCCUUACAUGGGUCACCGGUUUAGGAGGCCAUAUGUCCCUCCCUAUUUCUAUUCUCCAUAUGGAUAUGGGUAUGUAUUUUUGCUCUUAUCCUACGUUUAGUCUUUUUUUUUUAAAUAUUCAUACCAUCACCUUUUCUUAUCUGUGUUUUUUGCCACCCCUAUCUGCAGGAAGGUUCCUAGAUUCAGAAGGCCAAUGCGAUAUAUGCCUUAUUACUAGAUAACUGUUAAGGGGCAGUGAAGUUCACCAGGUGGAUGCGUCUGUUCUGAACACUUGAGUUUCUAUUUAUGAUCUUUGAGAAGAAAACAGAGAUUUUAUUGGGAUAAUGACGAUUGCUGCUAAUAUUCAUAAUUAACGAUGUUAUAAGACGAACGAUGUUUAAUUGAUAGGUUGUUGCUGCUGGCAAACUUUUCUUAAUCGAGUUUAUUAGCCUUUGAAAUAAUAAGAUAAAGUUGGAUGGAGAUCUCUUCAAUGAAGGGUGCAUUCUGCUUUUAGAUGUUUCCAUUGGCCCUUGGACGAUUGCGGUGAGUUUCUUUCCUUUUUUGAAAAAAAUAAAUUUAGAAUGAAAUAGUUCAUUAACUUAAAUAGGAAGUGUAUACGCCAGCAACUCUUGGAUGAUUUACCAUCCAGCUAGUAAUAGAGUUGAGGGAUUAAACACUUGAAUGGUGCAACCAUGGAGUAUGAAACGUGAGGUUUGAUGAUCAGAUAAUAACGUGCCUUGUCACAGGUCUUUUGGGCUUGUUAAAUAUGCCAUAUAAUUAAAAAUUGGAAAUUUCUUUAUUAUAAAAAAAUGGAAAAUUUAGGUGUACGACUUGGUUCACUAUAGAUUAUUGAAGUGUUUUUUUAUGGAAGUAUUUAUUUGUUUGUACUUGGAGGUGCCACGAAUAUUUUUUAAAAAGAUUAUACUUAGAAUGCCACAAAUAACUAGAAUGCCUUAAAUCGUUGAGGUAACCUGCCACCGGUCACCGACAAGGGCUGGGCUGGGACGCUGAUUCACGAUGAGAAAGCUAAUAAUUUAUCAUAUUUUUUAUGUAUAUGUAUAUUUCAUUUCAAUAAAUUUGUCCAUGUAGAGGAAAAGUUAAUUUUCAUCAUAGGAUGCCGCUGUAAAUAUGGUGGCAUACCAAGUGUUAUCUAUCUUGGUCUGUGUCUAAGAAAGAAAUUUCCAUUCUCCAAAAAUAACUGAGAGGAAGCCUAUACACAUCUGGUCAUCCUUUAUUAAUAUUGUUAUUAUUUUUGAGCUAACAAAAUCAUUGGUAAAAGCUGACUUUCACCAGAAUCUAGCAAAGCUGCAACUGGAAAGGGAUCAGAAACCACCCUAUACAUUCAUUGCACUUAUUUACUAACCCUAUUAGUGGGGCCUAUAGAAAAAGAAUAACAAGUUGCAAGAAGACUCUUUAUAUCAAACUCUAGGAUUUCAAAUCUUCAAUCUCCCGGGGAGUCUCCUCUGGGAAAAUUUUGACAGCAUGCAAGGCUUAGUUUUAUUUCUUGCCUAGAAAAAUCCCAACAGCAAUGCCUCCAUAAAUACAUAAACUGCGAUCCAAAUUAACAGAAUAAGGUUCUGUAUAUAAAGCUAAUCUCCAGCACAUUGCUUUUGCAGCUUCCACUUGAGGAUACUGCAUCAGCAAUAUUUCAAGAAAAAUCCCUUCACAACGAUUCAACGAAAUCAUACAUGAAAUGCUUUACAUAAGCAGGUUGUGUGUCCAAGCGAUUUCCACAGCUGAUUUCUAUUUUUGGAAGGAACUAAAGUAGGGUUAGCAGUAUCUAGUUGAUAUUGAAAUAAAUUGAAUAAAUCAAAUCAAUUCAAAAUUUUGAGAUAUUAUAUUUUUUUUAUGUGGUUUGAUUUUAAUUUGUAAAAAAUUUGGUUACUUUGAUUCGUUUGGUUAGAAAAAUUUAAUAAAAUCAAAUUGAAUAAAUUAGCUACAAAUGUUAUUUUGAUAAUAUAAGGAGAUUAGAUUCUAAAUAAAGUUAUUUCAAUUGAAUUCUAGUGUAUAUAAAGAUAUUAAAAAGGUCAAUCGACUAAAUCGAAUUGAAUCGAAUCAUAUCACAUCAAUUCAAAUUAUUUCUCUCUUUUAUAUUUUAAUUUUCAAUAAUCACCCGUAAACUAAAGUGAAGUGUGAAGGUGGAUCCACAUAGAUAUUGAAUCUGGUGCUUAUUCCCUACAGGCUCAAGGAAAGCAAGCGUUGGUUCUCAUCCAGGGAUUGAGAAGCAUUGAGCCUGGGGUCACAAUGUGUGUAAUAGCGUGAGCCAAAGUCAUCAAAAGUUACAGUCCUAGACCCACCAAUGCAUUCUGUCACAUUUUGGCCACUCAUCUACAGGUGAAUUCCGCCAGGGUGGCUCCCUUCUUGCUCAUGGACAUCAAAAAAUGUUCCAAUCUCAGCCUGCAAACAUGUACAAUAUCAUGACUAUGAGUUGAAAGAGGAUGAGCUACAGUAAACAAAGAAAUUGGUUCUUUAAAAUUAUUGAUAUGACAAAUAAAUCCUACCAAAAUUGCAUCAAAUCGGCGUGUUUUUAGUCCACAUGGUGCCUUAAUGGUGUUCCCAUGCAUGGGAUCACAGACCCAUGUCACAAUUUGUCCGGCCCUGCGUACUGUUCUGACCAAGUGAGGAAGCGUGACUCUCAGGUUUUCAGCACCCAUUCUGGCUGAUGAUUGUUAUCCUUCCAGGCUUGUUCUUAGAAUUCAGAAUUUCAAUGAGUUUAACCAGUUCAUUUGGGUCCAUUUUGUUGCUCAUCUGCAUCACAAGUUGCAGUUUCAGGAAGAGGACCAGAAAAAUAAUAGUGAAAUCAAUUAUUCUAAUAACGCUUGCAUUGAAGUACCUUGAUACCAAGAGGGUUAGAAAUUCCUCUGAGGAACUCUACAUGGGCACCAUCCAAUUGACGGGUACGUUCUCCACACCAGAGCAUGUGAGCAUAGCAAUCAUAGUACAGGCCAGAAGUUGAAUCCAGCCUUGUCAGAGAUUGCUUGUAAGGCAAAUGCAAGCAUUCAUGGGAUGUCCAGAAUUCAGUUGUCAUUGUGGCAGGAUGUUCCACUGUGAGUCCUGCAGCAGCCACGAAGCCUAAGGCCUCAUCAACCCGAUGGGCUAGUUCUUGGUACCUAUCAAAAAAUUGAAACCAGAACUCCAAAAGCAUUUCACUUUUUCUGAAAGUUGAUCCAGGGAGCUGCAAAUACAACAGAUGACAUGAGAAAAGUUUAGUUUGCAAACCUGUCUCCUUGCUCACUGUGCUCUGCGAAGUCGAGAUUCCAUUGUGUAACUCUCUGCAUUGCAGCAUAGCCUCCAGUGGCAAAGGCCCUAAGAAGGUUUAUAGUUGCUGCAGAUUGAGAGUACGCACUUAACAGCCUCUGCGGGUCUGGAAUUGACUUCUCGUUAAAAGCAUCUCCAUUAAUGUUGUCCCCUUUAUAACUUGGCAACUUCACUCCAUUCCUCAGCGAGCCUCUCUUCUAAACUCCUGGCUUCCCCAGCGAAAACAAUUGGUGGAAAUGCCUCAAUAGUCUUCAACACAGACUCCGGCGAAUUCGCAUCUGGGUAUUCAGGAAGCUGCGAAGCUUUCUUCUUUUUCCAGCUGUCCAAAGUCCAUUUCCCAGUGCUGGGUGGACCGGGGGCAACAAGCGCCUUUGACUCCUCUACAGAUAGAGAAUUCUUAGCGGACCUGGCCGCAUGGAUAGCGGUGAUUGAAAGGAGGGAUAUGGACUUGUUGCUAGGAAGAAGAGAGAGAGUUGGUGGUGAAAGCGAGAGAGAGUGUGGGUGUUGCUGUAUGGAGACUUGGAAGAAAGAGUUGAGAGAGCUAUUUCUGUUUGUGGCUUUUAUCAGCAAUUCCCUCUACUUUUAUAGUGUUUUUAUUUGGGUUGGUUUUAUAUUUUAUCUGCAUAUUCAUCAUUAAGUAUCUUAAAUUUAUUCUAUUGAGAAUCCAUCUACCAAAAAUUACAUGGAAGAAUUGAAAAUUUAGGUUACUGAGAGAAGUAAUCCCAUAAAUCCCUUUAAUUAACAGAAAAUAUAAUAUUAUUUACGAAUAAUAAAAAAAUUUUAAUUAGAUUUAAAAAUUAAAGGACUACCUAAUCAAUUUCUUAAAAAUUCAGGAUUUAAUAGUAAUUCUUUUACAUAGGUAUAUAUAUAUAUACUCCGGCCACUAACUUCUGGCUGCUAGUUGCGUACUUUAGCCUGUCAUAAAUUUCUAAAACUAAAUUGCGCAGAUAGCCCUAAGCGCGCCAACCAUCGUAACCAUCGCCAUAGCUGAACUCUCCCAGAAACCCUGAUAAUGUCUUCUCUUUAUCCAAAACCCUAACGAAAUCCAAACUCAAAUUGACACAAAACGAAAUCAAAACGACAAUGUUACUCACCUCGCAACGCCUCUUCGCAAAUUCACCUUCUCGACCUUUCUACUUCAUCACCCCCAUUAAGCCCUCUCUUAAAAACCCUAAUUUUCCCCCCCCAAUCCUCCCCCUCCACUUCACCAAUUCCUUACUUUUACAAAAUUUCCCCUACAAACCCCAGUACCUUCUCAGCUUCGGUUCAAAAUCCUAUAGUUUUCCUAUCAGAGCCUAUCAAUCCGAUGACGCAAUAAGCCCACGGGAAGGUUCUGAUGCUUUCAAUCUCGAUGCUUUUCUCUCAAUUGCUGAAUUAUUGUGUAUUAUCUCGUCGGCGAUUAUUACAAUAAGUUAUGCAGUGAAUUCUACGGUUUUAAGCUCUAGAAGGACGGUGUUGGGGGUGAUAGGGAGUAACGGGGCGUUUGCUUGGGGAUUGGUGGUGAUGGUGAGUGGCAUGGUGAUUGGUGCAUGGAUUAGGAGGCGUCAGUGGCUUCGGUUCUGUAAAGUAACAGUUAGGGAGGGUAGAGAGAGUGUGAAUUUGGUAGAUAGGAUUGAGAAACUGGAGGAGGAUUUGAGGAGUUCUGCCACGAUUAUUCGAGUCUUAUCUAGGCAGCUUGAGAAGCUGGGGAUUCGGUUUCGGGUAACAAGGAAAGCUUUGAAAGAGCCCAUUGCUGAGGUAUACACAACUUUUGAUACAAAUAACUUUUGUUGGUUCUUGAUUAUUAUUAUUUUUUAACUGUUACUGGUUUGGGUUAUUGCAUUCUGUUGAAGAAGAAGAUCCAGGGAGUGAAGAUGAGUUAAUUUAGUUUCAGAAAGCCCAAUCCCAAAAUGCUAUUACAUUCCUGAGGAUUUUCCUCCAAUACAAGUAGAAGUUCACUGAGAGAAAUUUAAGGUUUAUUAUUUUUAGAGUCCCAAGUGUGAAAUGCUGAAGGUUUGAAAAACUGAAGCGUCCAAGGAAAAUGCUUAGGAUUGCAAGUUUUCGACACUCAUUAUGUCUUUGUUUUAAGAUUGUAGUUGUAUUGUAGUUAUGUUGUAAAGUAUGAUCUGAUGCUCAAUGCCUUAUUGCUUGAGGAUUGUUUUUCUUAUUCCUCUAUUGUUAAUAAUUGCUGUUUCACCACCCACCUUCUGUGAUCCAUUUUAUUCACUGCAAAGAAGUACUAUCAUCUCUAAGAGAAAGCUUUGUUUCGUUAGAAGUUAUAAAACAGCAGGUCGGUUUCCAAUUGGCUGUCUCUUGUUAAGGCCUUCAUAUUCUUAUACUUUCCUGCCCAAAAUGUUUUUUUGUGCCAGUGAUUCAUAGCAUCUUGGCUGUUUUCUUUGUAUGAAAAUAAAAAAAUCACAAACAACUAAAACUAUUAAUUGCGUAUGCCAUAUUCUGCCAAUGUUAGGAAACCUUCUUAAUGCAAGAUACUAGCUUUUCCUCUAGUGUUCCCAUUUAUUCUUUCUGUUUAGUAAGCCUAAUAAUGGCCUAGUUUAUGGUUAAGGCAAUACGAGUUGAGCUAGCAACAUAAAUUCAUUUGUCGCCCAAAUUAGUUUUUGAAUGGUUGUGCAACUUUGAUUAUGCUCAUGCUUUAUCUCUUAGAUUGGUAUCAUUAUAAGAUCUUGCUGAAAUGUGUAUGAAUCCUAGUUUCAAGGUUCUUAUAAUGUUUGGACAUUAGAGGUUAAGCUGAUAACCUAGGGACGUAAGUCGGAGAGCAAUAACUGGAGCGUGAAUAGGUUAUAAUGAGAACGAAAGAAAUUGUUAUGUUAGUAGCUAUACUGAUUGGUGAAUUUUGCUGCAGCUUCAUAAGUUAUCUACUUUGUUUCAUAAUAUAUUAAUUUCUUUGAGCAUGCUUUCUAUCUCUAUCUGAAGACUGCAGCUUUGGCACAAAAGAAUUCUGAGGCUACCCGAGCACUAGCUAUGCAGGAAGAUAUCCUAGAAAAGGAGCUUGGAGAAAUUCAGAAGGUUUUGUUGGCAAUGCAGGUAUGUUCAACUGAAUAGUUUGACAAUGCGAAUGAGUUUUCCUUGUCAUGUGCUCAAGGGACUUUGCUAUUUAGUAGUAAUGUAGCAUUGUUGGUCUACUGGGGGUACUAGACAAGUUGACUUCAGGAACCUCAAGAUAGUAUAUUGCAUAGAUGUUUCUGUUUUAUGUUGUUUCAUGUAUGUCUAGCUUGAUAUCUCAUGGAUUUCAGGACAAACAUUGCAUGUUUAAGAUCUUGUCAUCAUCAGUAUUGAUUCAUGGGUCUAAAAGUUGCUACGUUGGAUUGAGCGCUGGGCACGGUCUGGCUGUUCCUGUCUGAAGGGUUGGAUACUGAGGACCGGACUCCUUUGUUUCAGUUUCUAUUCGUUCCCUUCCAGUUCCAUCCAAUUUGAUCAGAUCUGCCUGUCAAAAUUAUUUAUGUUAAAGUCAACUUUUCCAGAACUGGACCAAACUGGUCAACCCAAAACCAGACCAAACAGCUCAAAGUCAGUCCAUUCUGAUUUCAAGAUGGUUCUUGUCAAAUCUGGUUUCACUGGGUCUUAUCUAGUCCUAACUCAGACCUGGUCCAUGUCAAAUUGCGCCAAGUUUGACUUUUAACAAUGUAUCCAGCUGAAUGUUUUGGGAAAAAAUGUAGUCAUCACUUUUUGUUGGGUUAUUCUUAGAUUCAUUUGUAAGAUAGAAAGUUUUGGACUAUGGAAAGCUAAAAUGCAGUUUAUUGACUUUAAUUCCUUUUCUCGAGUGUUCUUUGUAGGAACAGCAACAAAAACAAUUGGAGCUUAUUCUUGCAAUUGGAAAGAGUGGGAAUUUAUGGGAUAGUAGGAUGGAACCUAGCUCAGAUCAAAAUCCGGUUGAAACAUCUGAUCUGAGUAAAGGAGCUAAACAGUUGAAAACUCAGGCAUCAGGUGCAAGCAAGGGAACCAACAAUGACAAACUGUAAAAUUGUUGGUGAAGUAAUAUUCAUCGGCUGCUUCGCUCUGUUCACCUUAUGACGUCAAUGUGCUCGACCUUUUUCUACAAAUGACAGGUGGCUUUUCUGGGACCAUACAACUACUUCACUGACUGUUGAAGAAUUCCCCAGUAUCUGAUUUUGACACUGGUGUGUCGAAUAAUUCCCCAGUAUCAGAUUUUGAGACUGGUGCGUGAAAGCAACAAAGGACAAAUAAAUUGGUAGGCAUUGCAUUGUAUCAUUGAGACAAAAUCCUCCUCGUGCUCGUAAUUGUAUUUGUAAUUCUGAUGCUGUAUUUCAUGUUUAAAUUGUACCCUUUCUGUAAACCCUGGCUUUUAGGAUUCAUGCGCACGCAUGGACUUCUGAAAAUAUAUGCUAUGAACAAGAAAGAAUAUUAUGCUGAUAGACUCACCCAACCCUUGAAGGUUGGAGUUUUGACAGGCUCCUGUAUUCUGGAGCAUGUUUUCGGUUAUUGGUUUUAACAGUUGACUUUACAGUUGCAGCAAUUUAUGUGGCCUUGAAUUACCUUGGGCUUUCAACAUGAACUAGCAAUUAUUUUUAACUUCAAAUUCACAAGAGAUGCUAUUCAUUUACAGCUUCAAAACUUGAACCAAUUCCCUGCUCGAAAUCGUUGGUUUUGCAUCAUGAAACAUAGAGAAACAGCUUAAUGGCAGUUGCUUUGCAAAAUAUUCCUAAUAAAGUCAUCAAGAUUUGUCGCAGAUGAUCCACCUUCACUGAUAGCUAGUUGACAGGCAUCCCUAAGAUCUCUUGCUCUUUUCCUCAUUUCUUUACUUUCUCUGCUUUCCAAAUCCAUAAACUUUUGGACGAGUUGAGCAAUUUUCUCUCUGGUCACCGAAUUUUCUUCUCCCAUUUCUCCCUGGACCUUCCAUCCGACUCUCCAUUCUUCCACGAUUUGCUUGCUGUUGGGAUCUUGAUCCAAGAAUAGAGGGAAAGUAAGCAUUGGCACCCCAGAAAAAACUGAUUCCAGAGUAGAAUUCCACCCACAAUGUGUCCAAAAUCCCCCAACUGAAGAAUGGUUUAACACUUGCAAUUGAUUACACCAAGGCAGUACCAGCCCCUUAUCACUGCAAAUCUCCUUUAACCGAGAAGCUUCUCCACGAGCCACCCACAAAUACCUAACGCCACUAUCGUCGAGCCCAGCAGCAAUUUCAUCCAUCUGGGUUCUUGAAACAGAGAGGAAACUUCCCAAUGAGAUGUACAAGACAGAAUCUUCAGGUUGGGAAUCUAGCCAUUUCUGAUAGUCAGUACUAUUACCGGCUCCACAAGAAUUGGCUUGUAGUUCUAAAUAAGGAAUAGAAGGACCAAUAGGAUAGACAGGAAAUAGAAAAGUUGCUUUUAAAUUGUCCAUUUCUUGGGUUUCAAGCUCAUACACAGAAGUAAACAGAAGAUACUGUGCUUUGGGCACCUUUGAAAUGCAUUCCAGAGCAAGCUCCAAGACUCGUAAAUCAUUCCUGCGGAAGAUUUUUCGAAGCUCUUCCAUAUUUGAUGAAGAAAUUCCUGGGAUGUGGCCUGCUUUUUCUACUAAAAGAAAGCAACAUAACAUCAUUACUAUUGAGUAUUUUGGACUCUGGAAUUCUCGAUUUAGUGCUUGAUAAACUUGAUUAAACACCAGCUAUUUGAUCAAAUAAUACUAGUAGAAAGACUGAUACUAGUAAUAUAAUAGCAAGAAUUGUUACUGAAGUUAUAAUAUUACCUAAUAAAUGAAGUGGGGAAUCUUGAUUUUGUGCGAAGAGAUCAAAAUGAUAAAGCACGGAAAAGAAAGUAGCUGACAUGGUCCAAAGUGCAGCCACCGGAAUAUUCCUUCGAUUUCCCAAGUCAAUAGCCCACCGAAGUUCAACAUCACCAAUUACAGCAGUCGCCGGCGGAUGAAGGCGAUCAAGAAGCUGCUCAAAAGGAGUUUCCAUCUUAGUCAUCACAGCUUCAUAAAAUCCAGGAAAAUCAACACCCUUUAGACGCUCAGAUGGGAUGACGUUAGGUAUGGUGGCGAAGACGAUGGAAUCAUCAGGCUUUGGCUCAGAGCUGAGGUAGCCAAGCCACUCUUCAGUGACGACUAAGGUGAUGAGAAUAUCAGGUUUUCUUGAAGCUAAAAGCUUGCAGAUAUUCAUCAUGGGGUUGAUGUGGCCUCUUCCAGGAAAUGGCAUCGCCACCACAUGGCAAACUGCGGCAGAUUCUGAGUUCAUGUCUCAAGAAAUUCUAGAAUUAUGAGAUUCCUAUUCUCAGAUGAAACAAAAACAUGAACUAGGUUUAAGACAACCGCUUGUGAAAAGAUUAAACUGUUUUUUCUCUGUGGUUAUUGUCUUUUUUUUUCAUAAUACAAUAAUGGAAAGUGAUGACUCACAACCUAACCACAUAGUUUUUUGCCAUUAUUUAUAUUUCUUUAAUUCUUUUACCUUUCCAGCGUAAUACGCAAUUGACAAUGUCAUGGAUGUUUUUAGUCUGUCAUCUUGUGUUUUGUAUUACAAUCAAAUUUAUAUCUUGAAAAAUCCUUUCACGCAUUUAAAUGUGAAAAUUGAUUUGUACGUUCAAAAAAAAAUUAUAAUUUUAGAUUUCACUAUAACGUAGAUAAUUUUUUUUUUUAAAUUAUAUUAAACAGAUAUAUAUAUUUUCUAGAAAAAUUUCCAAUCAUAAUUAUAUUCAUUGAUAAUCCACAUGAAAAAUAAAAUAUAUCAUUGCAGCCUAUUUUCAAUUUAGGCCCACAAAUAAAGGAUUUAAGAUGAAAGCCCAAUCAUCUCCGCUCCAACAAUCAUGUUUUUACACUCUAUUUAAAAGAAAGUAGAGCAAAAUAAAAUUUUAUAAUUUGACAAAAUAAUUUUUUUUUAUUAAUUGAAAAAAAGUUUAUAGUAUUUAAAAAUUUUUAAAAAUAAAAUUUUUCAAUCCAUCAAUUUAAUGAAUUGAAAUUUAAAAUUUGUAAAUGUUAUUUAAAAUCUCUAAAAAUCUUAUUUUAAAAACUUUCUACUUGUGUGUAUUUUUAAAUCUUAAAAAAUCUUCAAUUACCUUGUAAAAUCUCAUUCCAUGCAGAGUGGUGGUGUUUGAACCAACUCGAUUAGUGAAGACUGAGAAUGCCAUCAAGAUAUAGAAACUGCCUCAUCUUGCCAUCAACUUCCACCAAAAGGGAAGAAAACGGUUGCAACUGAUCACUCAAAGAGCCACAGCUUUGAGGCUCGGCUGGAUUCAAACCUGAUUUGGAGCUUGUCCAAAUUAGAAUAGGAAUGACGGAACUUGCUCCAAUAACUAACUGUGAUAGAUUAAUCUGUAAAAAAAGAAAAGAGUGAAACAUUUAGCGUUUAUAGACAACUGUUUUGAUAAUCAAGUCAGUAACUUGCUAAAAAGAGCAAGUAUGAUUAGAAAUAGAGUUGAAAUGCGAUUGGUUAAACUGAAAAAAAAAUGUAGUGGUUAACAUAUACAAUUUCUCUGAUACUCGAGUCAAUAAUUUACUAAAAAAAGUAAGUGUAAUAAAUUAUUUUGAGUUUAAAAUGAAUGUGUAGCAAUAUUUAUUUUUUAUAUUAUAACAAAAUGGAUUUAAUUAUAAAAAUUGCUUGAAAAUUCGAUUGGUAUCCGUUAAUGAAUAAGAGAUUCUCCAAUUAUAAAUAUAAAUAUAAUGAAAAUAAAUUAGAUUAUAUUCGAUAAUUUUGUACCAUAAAAGAUUCGAUCAAUUUAGUAAAAGGCGAGUUUUGAUGUUUUAAACACUGAAAAUUUCAAUGUCUGAGUUUUUUUUAUAAGUGAGAUCUCUACUACUGCAAAUCAAUCUAUUAGACUCUUGUCACGUGAUUCUAUUUUAUCGUGAUAAUUUAUGAUUAUUAUGUAAUAUUAAUUUUUAAAAGUAUAUUAAUUUUUUAUUUUUAAAAUAUUUUAAAAGUAUCAUUCAAUUUUUUACACAUAUAUUUUAAUUUUAUCAAAUUAAAUAUUAAUUUUAAAUAUACACAAAAAAAUCAUUUAAUUGGAUCAUAUCAAAAUACUCAAAUUAAACUAUAAAUUUUAAAUAAUAAUGAGAUAUAUUUUGACAUAAAUCAUAGAAAGUAAUUUAUAUCUAUUUUAUUUAUGUAAAGAAAUUAUCUAUUUUUAGAAAACAAUGACACAUCACCUGUUGCAGUGACGAAUCACAAUGCUUGCAAUGUGACGUGGACAUUUCUUUGCAAGUACAUUCUUAUAGCGUAGUGAAGGGAAAAUUCUUUAUUGCAUCCAUUUAUUUAUGAAAUCAACUAAUUAAAAAUUAUUAUUAUAUUUUUUUAAAGUAAAAUUUAUUGAAAUUUUAGUAUAUAUGAUUUUUUUUUUAUUGAUGGAAUGUGUAUAAGAAGUAUUUUCACGUGGUGCAGUGCAUCAGCAUCAGGAGAUAGUUUGGGCAGUGAUGAAUCAAUCAUAUCAUGACCGUCCAAAGCUGCAGCAUAUGUCAACUUUUGUACCAUCUCUAUCUUCUUCCUAACUUACUUGUUCAUUACUCAUGAUAGCCCCUAGCUGCACCACAUUUCUAAUUCACUCUUCCAUGAAACUUCUCUUUCCCCAAAAAACAUAAAAUAAUAUAAAAUAAAAAUUCAUUUAUUUUUGGAGAAGUGCUGGCAGUAUUUAGAAAAUCUUCUUAUCUUUUUUCUGAAAAAUAAAAUAUAAUUUCUGAAAAAUGAGACCAUCUUCCUUCAAGACAUCAAACAGAAUUUCAGUUUGUUUCACCAAAUUGAUUUAAACUUUUAUCGGGCGAAUCUCAUUCACUCUGAGUGAGUGAGAUCGAAUUUAAAAAAAUAAUGCUUGUAUAAAAUCAAUAAAAUAUUCUUUUAAUCGAUCAAUCCAACCUUUUAAAUUUUGGCUUAAAUAUGUGGAGCAAACCAAAUCAUUUGCAAGAUCAAGACCAAUAAAAAAUAGUCCAAUUCGAUGAUGUAACGUGAAAGAUAGUAGCUAGCCAAUUCAUUUUGCAGUCCUACCUACAUCCAUACUGGAAGAAUUAAAUGAUUAUCUAACGUGAAAAGAAAGUUUGACACGUUUGUACGUAUGAAUCUAAAUGAUAAAAAUAAAUAAUAUUAUAAUAGAGAGGCGUUAAAUGUAACUAACAUAAAAAAAUUAAAAAAAAAUAUUUUUUUCUCUAUCUAAAUUUAAACUUAUAAUAAAAAUUUUAUUUUUUGAAUCUUAAAACAUCAGUAGUUAAUGAUCUUUCCCACUUGUCUUAAGGUUUCUCUUAUAAGUUUGAAUGUAAGAGAUCAAACCACUAAUCAUUUUGUUUAUAAGGUUUGUUUAAAUAAGACAUUGAAAUGGGGACAAAUUGCAGGUUUUGCUUCUGUUUCUUUAAAAAAAAAUAAUAAUAAAUAAAUAAGUUGGUCUCAUGUACGAAUUAUUGAACGUCAAUGGCAGACAAAUUCAAUGUCUGAAAGAAACAACAGCAAUAAAUGCAUGAAUUUAACCCUUUUGAAUAUUAUUUAUUUCAGUUUUUCCAUGCACAGCAGUAACACUUUCUCCACAGUUACUGUUUCUCAGCUUUAAUCUAAAAAAUCUAAUUUAAUAAACUGACCCUAAUGGGUCCUUGUUGCCUUCUGAUGUGGAUUCUCCCAAUUUGUUUUCCUCCUCUGAAUUGUUCCUUUCAUCACUUCUUUCUCUCUCUAGAUCCCUAACCCUACCUCUCUCUUCUCCAUUGCCCAGAUCACUGACUCUAUUUAUCUCUUGAUUUUGCAGCUGCCUUCUUCCCAGUAGCUGCUGGGUUUCUACCAUUUGUUGAACUAUAUUAGUUCUUUAUUUAUGAUUUCAAACAUGGUGACAUGAAAAAGGCUUAUUGUUUCUUCACCAUAAUGAGCACCCAUCGCCGAUAUUUUCUCAGCAACAGCGGCAUAGCCAUUGCAGCUUCACUCUGCCUUCUUCUUCUUCUUCUUCUUCCUCUAGCUUCCUGCUCUCAUCCACGGCCACAGCCUCGUGUAAGCUUGAUCUCUCUGAAAAUUUGAUUAGAUUUCGGUAUGUGGGUGAUAUUUACUUGGGGUUAAUUUGUUGUGUAGGGUUUACUAUCUGAGGAGAAAACAAGACUGGGUUCUACACCACCGAGUUGCCACAACAAAUGCAACGGAUGCCACCCAUGCAUGGCAGUUCAAGUGCCUACAAUACCGAGUCACAGCCGAGUUCAACCGAGUUUGGCUAAAAGCUUGGAGUUCUUGGACCCUUAUCCUUCGCCCUCAGGUAAUAGGUACUCAAAUUAUAAGCCACUCGGGUGGAAGUGUCGCUGUGGUGGCCAUUUUUACAAUCCUUGAAUCUUCAAAGAUCAAAGUGAAAACGGCGAUACGUUGCAUAUUCUUUUUUGCUUUUCAAAUGAAUUAUGGAUUUUUUUUUAUCUCUUUUUUUUUCCAGAGAUGUGAAUGUCACCGUUAAAUGUACACAUUUAAACGUUAUACAAUAUGUAUUAUAAAGAAAGCCUGUCUGCAAUUAUUUGAAAUUUGUCUUAUUCUCAGAUAAUAAUUAUAAUAAUGUUUGAUUGGGUCAGUUAAAAAAUUCAAACUUUUUAAAAUUUAUAAAAAAAAAAAAUUUUUUUUUAUUUGUUUUUUUUAAUGGUGAGUGGUGUGUUGGGCUUAUCUUCUUGGGAAAUACAAGUCUUGUAUAUAAAAUUGACAAGAAAAGAGAAUGAGCGGAACAUCUUUCAGGGAAACCUCGCAUUAUUGAAGGUGAUAGGAAUUCAGAUUGAGUAGUGAACCAGUACACCAUGACCUUGACCAUGACCAUGACCAUGACCAUGUGAAUCCCAGUAUACAUAUACAGACUAGAGUACUGCUGAGACAGAGAUAGCCAUUUAUAGCAAUGUGAAAAAGCCUCAAGUCUUAUUGUCACUCACGUACACUCAGAUGGAAAAUGCAGUGCGACUUGUCCCUCUCAAUAUCUGUGAAAAAAAAAAUUAUAAUUUAUUUUAUUUAGUAUAAUGGGAAAAUAAUUAGUUUAUCUCUGAAUUUUUUUAAAAAAAAAAUUAUGAAACAGAUGAAUUAAUUUUUUAAUUAUUUAAUAUAUAUUUUUAAAUAUAUAUUAACUACUUAAUUUGGCUGCGCCAAUUAAAUUGUAAUCUUUGCAAAUUUGUAAUUUGUGCGGAGACAUCAGCCCACUCUUUAGCAUCGUAGCCUCACUAUUUUCGACUAGUUUACUAUUUUAAAUUCUAAUUUGACAAAAUCAUUUAGAAGGGCUCAGCCGCAUCGCACUUGUCGCGCUACUAUUUAAGGAAUAUAUCGGAAUCAGACAAACUUUCUAUUUGAGAAAUUUUUUUGGAAAAAGAAAAUAAAAUUUAUUUUUAUUUUUAUUUUUUACUUUAUUUAAAUAGAUGGAAAAUUAAAAAAAAAAAAAGGAGAUUAAAUAUUUGAUAAAACGUUGGAGGUGGAAGAAAAAUAAUUAUAUUUUGAUAAGAUUAUUAUUAUAGCCUCUAUCUUCCAAAAUUGAAUUAAUAAUUGAGGGGUAAAUGGGUGACUUCAUGAGUGAUAAAGAUAUUUUUUAAAAUUUUUUUCCCUUAAAUCAGAGUUAAAAUAAAUAGAUAAAUAUAUAUUCCAUUUAUUUUUUCUCUUAUUUUUAACUCCAAAAUAGUUGGAAUAAAAAAAACUGCAAAUAGUUAUUAUCUCAUUAUUUCUUCUAUUUAUUUUCGGCAAAAAAAAAAUUAAUCGCUUAACUUUUAUUUAAAGUUAAAAUUAACUUAAUUUUAUCUUUUUAGCCUAAUAAGUCCAAACCUUUAUAUUUAGCUUCAUUUAACACCAAUUUCUGCCAGAUUUAUGGCAAUUGUGAUACACUCUCUCUCUUAGAGACUAACCGAGUGAAAAUAUUUUUUUAAGUAUAAUAAUACUAGUGAGAAAAAAAUAUAAAAUGUUAUUUUUAUAUUUAUAUAAUUAAUAAAAAUAAAUAUAAGAAUUUUUUCUGAAUCUUUCCAACUCAUUCUCUAGUUCCAUCCUUGUUGUGAUGCUUUAUUCUUGUCCUACUCGAUCAUAAUUGUGGCAGAUUAAAGAUGCCUACCUCCUUUAAGGGUAAUUCCUUCACUUGUUGAAGACCAAAGACCCAACACACUAAAUCGCUUGACCCAUUUGCUUCUAUAGAAAAUUUUAGUCUCUCCUUCGUCUAGAUCUUGAUAAUAGUGAGAUUCGGCGAAAGUUCCAUAUUAGCACACUUAGGCAAAAAGCACAUUUAGACCGAGUUUUGAUUCGCUAGAUUGAUUAUUAUUUUGUGAUUAAUCCAUUAGAUUUCUUUAUAUUUAACUUUGAAGAAUAGAACUUGUAAGAUAAAUAAGACAGUGAGGGAAUCACCCGAGAAGUUUCGGGUGAAAACCCUCCAAUACUCAAGUUAGACCUGAUAAUUUUAUAAAAUUAAGAGAAGUAAAAUAGAGAAAAAAAAAAAGAGAAGAGAAUAAUGGUUCUGAAUUCUUCCUUUGUGAUUGCAAGAGAGAUAGAUCACUUUUCAGAAGAAAAUAUAUCCUUUUUUCUAGGUUAGUCCAGUGCAUAAAUAUUUUUAAAUAAAAUUGAUGCUCUAAUGCUAUGUCCACUUCUGAUGGGGUAGGAAUACUUUUGUAGAUAAUAUAUUAAUGAUGGGUUAUAAGAUAAAAAAAUAUAAAAUUGGUUAAUUUAUAUUUUUUAUAUUCACACUUAUGGUUGAUAUGCUCAAAUAAUGAUUGACUUAUUUAUGAUUGACUUAUAAAUAAUAAUAAUAUCUAAAAAUUAAAUUAUAAAUUGAAACUUUAAUGCAAUGUUCCCUUCUGACACACAGGAGAGACAUUUUUAUAUAGGUGUGUCAAUAUAAUGAAUUAUAGGAUAAUAAAUGCAAAACUAACUAAUUUAUAUUCUUUAUAUGCACGUUUAUAAUUUUAUGUGCCGAAUUAAAAUUUAAUUUAUAAAUAAUAAUAAUAUUUAUAGGUUAAAUUAUAAUUUUUUUUAAAAAAAAAUCUAUGCAUCAACGACCAUAUUAGGCCCACUCUAUCUAGGUAGAGGAGCCUAGCCGUGUUAAACCAAAAUCGAAAUCAUUCUCCUUGACCCACUUUUUUUUUCUCUCUAGUUUUUUUUUUCUCUCUCACAAGUGUUGUUGGUCCAACUCAUUCAAUUUGUUUUAAUCAACAUGUAAGAAUGGAAUUAUUUUAUUCUUAAAAUGAACAGAUCAACGUCUUGGUUUUUGAGUAUGAAACAAACUGAUACUCCAACCAAAUUAGUUAAAAAGUUAAAAUUGAAUUUUAACCUCUAUGUAUUUAUAAAAAAUAAUUCGUUUGAAUUAUUUGUCUCAAAAAACUAUUUUUUUAUUAUUAAUUGCAUUAUUAUAGUGUAAAUAUUGUUAAUAAGUUUAAAUUUAAAAAGUUUGGAUGCCUUAAUAAUUUCUUUAAAAUUUUAAAAAAUAAUUUAAAAUAAAAUAAAAAUAAAAAUAAAAAUAAAAAUAAAAAUAAAAAUAAAAUCAAAGUGAAUUUUUUUAAUCCAAUUCCACUUCUGCAGUUCUAAAACUCAAACCAUCGAUUUGGUUUCAAUUUCAGCUCUGAAACAAAUCGUGGCCGGCCAUUGAUCGGCAUCUAGUGUAUUCCAUAGUCUUUUCCCCCAUUCCCUACUCGGCUACUCCCUUACCUUUAACAUGACGUCAGUCAUUUUCAUUCUUAUCUGAAUUUCAAUCCUCCACUCGUUUGUCCAUUUUGCGUGUAUUUUAUCCGAUAAAACAUCCAAAUAAACCAAUAAUUUCUUUUUCUUUUUUAAAUAUUCAAUGAAUAAUUGAUUAUAAUUAUUAAAUUAAUUAAGCUUUCCUUUUUCUUUAAAAAAACAUAUUGGUUAGGUUUCUGCCGUCCAAUUAUCACUUAUCCAUCAAACAUCAUUCACAUAAAUCUUAAAGCACUUACAUCCAUCCAACGCUCGUCUUUGGCGUUAUCUUCACCAACAUUUCGCCGGACCGGGAGAGAGAAAUGGUCGAUUUAGGGGAAAGGAGAAUUGCAGUUCCGAUGAUAAUAGCAAUGAAAGGCCAUCCAGGCACAGGCAAGAGCACUUUGGCCCAAUCCUUGGCCUCCUCCCUCAAAAUCCCUCUCAUUGACAAAGACGAUGUUCGCCACUGCACCUUUUCUCUCCAGAACUCCUCGCUGUCCUCCAUCGCUUCCCUCUCCAAGCUCUUCAAUGAUCUCUCCUACCGCGUCAUCUGGCAAAUCGCUUCCACUCAGCUCCGUCUCGGCCUCAGCGUUAUACUCGAUUCUCCUCUCUCUCGCAAGACUCACCUCGAUCAAUUAACCUAUUUAGCAUCAUCAGCUGGGGCACGCCUUGUGAUAAUCGAAUGUAAACCAUUGAAUGAGGCACUGUGGCGUCUCAGGCUAGAGCAACGCGGUGCUGCUGAUCAAGAUAGUUGGCAUAAACCUUCCACGUGGCAAGAUCUCCAGAGGUUGUUGGAAGAGUACGGUGGGUGUACCGAUUAUGAUGUUGGUGAUGUACCGAAGUUGGUUGUAGAUACAACGGCCGACGUUGGGAUUGAUGAGAUUGUUUCUAGAGUGGUGCAGUUCAUCAUUUCUCAUGCUCAUUGCCCUUCUGAUUCAUGUGGAGUGUUACAAUUACAAUCAUAAUUCAUAAUUAACAACAAAAUUUCUAGAUUGUUAUGGUCGAAAUCUACUAACAAUGAAUUUAUAUACGAUUUAGAUUUCAUAAUGGUUAAAGUAUAAUUAGUUAAUUAAUUUACUAAUUUUUUUCCCACAAAAUCCAAUUCAUUUCAUUAAACUCAUGGAAGAACUAAAAACAACCAUUCAACCUAAAAUCAAGCUAAGCAAUUGGAGCCUUGAAGAAAAAGCAGAGCAGAACAAACCACAACUAAUUGGCUAUCACCACUCACAUAAACACUUUUAUAUUCUCUAUUCAGCAUUGGCCACCAAAAAAGAAGAAAACUCCAACAAUCAACAUAAAAGAAAAUUUUGUCUAUUUGUUACCUUCAAAACUAUGAAAAUAGAGAGGAUGUGCAGCAACCAUCACCAUAGAGAUUUGGAUCUGAUUGGACAAAUUGAGAACAUGGCGAAGCAAAGGGUGACGAAUUCUCUCUUUCACUAGUAGCCCAAAAAAGCCGUAGAGGCUUCAUAACCAUCUUGGAGGGAAGAUUUCGAAGCAUACAAGCAAAUCUCCAAAUAUAAAUUAAAGAAAAACUACUAAAAUCCCAUAUGAAAUGAGAACUUAAAACCCUAUCAAAGUGACAAACAAAAAGAUAAGAAACUAAAAAACAAAUAGACUAAAAAAGGAAAACUAGAAAGGGAAGAGGUCAAUGGCCAUGCUACCGAAUCUCCCCUAAAUUGGAACCAGGCCAGAUCUUCCCUAAACUGAAACCAAAUGUUGAUUGUAGAUGAGAGAAAGGAAAGCAUAGCAUAGCAUUGUCUAGAGAGUCAUAGGAACCACAUUAAUUUACUAAAAUUUAAUUAACUAGUUUUUCACAAGCACUUGAAAUAAUAAUUGCUACAAUCUACUAGCUCAUGAACAAGCAAUAUGGAAUAAGAAUUUUCUAUAAGACGAAUAAGUGUAAGGCUUUAUUUGCUGGGACUUGAGUUUGUAGCAAUAGUGAUUAUAUCUCACAAUUUUUUUAAUCUAAAAAUUGUGUUGAAAAAUAUUUAGAGAGUAAUUUUCAAAAAUAAUAAAAUGGUAAGUACAUUUGAAUAAAUCUUAGAUAUUUCAUAUUCUACUCUCAAUUUUCAAUUUCUGAUUAAAAAAAAAAAUCAUACUGAAAUAAUAUAUAAAUUUGCCGGCCUAAAAAAAAAAUCAAAUUGGUAACUCAAUCUAAAACCAAUCACCUAGGAUAUUAUAAACCAUAGUCUUUCAUAUUCCAUCAUUACCACCAAUUACUAUCCAACAACACCAAUCACCAUUAAAUGAACAAUAAACCACGAUCUUUAAGCCAAAAAAUCGUUGAAAAUGCAAAAUUCCCAGCAAGACGCAUGCAAAACAUGAAAAGGCCAAAGGAAAUUGCUUCAAUAAAACAUGAUGCAAACUUAUAAGAGAACGAUAUGAAAGACCAGCUUCAAGAGGCAUGGACAAAUCUCAUUGGCGUCUCAAUCUCGUGUAGUCUUAACCACUUUUGAUCGAGUACUACUUGGAGAUGGUACCACCGAUACUAAGCAAGUAAGCAGAAUUCACUCUUACAAGCACAACACUAGAUCUCGAAAACAAUUUCGCUGGAGAACAUCAAAUACUUAUAAAUAAAAAUCCAAAAAAACAAAUACCAAAAACCAAAAGAAAUACAACCACUAGUAGAAACACAACCCAAGAAGAAUUGAAUAGAGAGAAAUGGGUGUGUGAUUCAGUUUAAUUUAUUUUAAGUUUUUAACAUUAAUAAUUGAAUCGAGAGAAAAAAAUAUUUGAAAAAAUAAUCAAAAUUGAAAUUAAUAAAAAGAUCAAGCCCAACAAGCAAAGUCCAUUAAUUGGGGGCCCAAAAGCCCAACAAAAG
This 26725-nucleotide long non-coding RNA is filed under the name Manihot esculenta (cassava). RNAcentral's name for it is "long non-coding RNA (MESC_LNC007535)". The record is from RNAcentral. Lineage: Eukaryota; Viridiplantae; Streptophyta; Magnoliopsida; Malpighiales; Euphorbiaceae.